GUGUGUGUAGCUCAGCUGGAUAGAGCACUUGGCUACGGACCAAGGUGUCGGGAGUUCGAAUCUUCUCACGCACGCUA
This 77-nucleotide transfer RNA is filed under the name Pseudobutyrivibrio ruminis. RNAcentral's name for it is "tRNA_Arg_ACG". It matches the Rfam family "tRNA". From Rfam's summary of the family: Transfer RNA (tRNA) molecules are approximately 80 nucleotides in length. Their secondary structure includes four short double-helical elements and three loops (D, anti-codon, and T loops). RNAcentral also lists the same sequence under 8 other names. Lineage: Bacteria; Bacillati; Bacillota; Clostridia; Lachnospirales; Lachnospiraceae. The record is from RNAcentral.